CCUACGGGUGGCAGCAGUCGUGAAUCAUUCACAAUGGGGGAAACCCUGAUGGUGCGACGCCGCGUGGGGGAAUGAAGGUCUUCGGAUUGUAAACCCCUGUCAUGUGGGAGCAAAUUAAAAAGAUAGUACCACAAGAGGAAGAGACGGCUAACUCUGUGCCAGCAGCCGCGGUAAUACAGAGGUCUCAAGCGUUGUUCGGAAUCACUGGGCGUAAGGCGGGCGUAGGCUGUUUCGUAAGUCGUGUGUGAAAGGCGCGGGCUCAACCCGCGGACGGCACAUGAUACUGCGAGACUAGAGUAAUGGAGGGGGAACCGGAAUUCUCGGUGUAGCAGUGAAAUGCGUAGAUAUCGAGAGGAACACUCGUGGCGAAGGCGGGUUCCUGGACAUUAACUGACGCUGAGGCACGAAGGCCAGGGGAGCGAAAGGGAUUAGAUACCCGGGUAGUC
RNAcentral lists this ribosomal RNA (446 nucleotides) under uncultured bacterium. Its description in RNAcentral is "partial 16S ribosomal RNA". It matches the Rfam family "Bacterial small subunit ribosomal RNA", at positions 338 to 795 of the family's 1533-position model. The record is from RNAcentral.